Non-coding RNA from Chlorocebus sabaeus (green monkey), 2668 nucleotides. The record is from RefSeq and is a predicted model, not a curated record. Lineage: Eukaryota; Metazoa; Chordata; Mammalia; Primates; Cercopithecidae.
UACAUCUAAUAUAUUAAUUUUUUAAUAUAUAGAACUUUUACAGAUAAAAUAUUUUAAUUUUAUGUAAGUGAUAUGAUGCUGUCCAGUGGUCCUGAAAUGUUACCGUACAUCAUUAUUACCUGGAAAGCUUGUGCAAACACAGGUUGCAGGGCCCUGACCCUGUUUCUGAUUCAUCAGGCCUGGGGUGGAACCUGGCAAUCUAUAUUCUGUCGGGUUCCCAGGUGAUGCUGCUUAUCACACUUUGAGAUGAAUGUGACUAUACUUUGAGAACCACUGUUGUAGUGCUAUUUAUACUGUUGACUUUUUUCACUUACCACUGUGGUUUUAAGGUACCCAAGUUACUAGUAUAGGUGCCUCUAGUUGAUUGUUUUCUGCCUGUUGUAUAGAAUUUCAUAGUAUUUAUCUGUGACACUUUCAUUCUCUGUUCUGCUUGGUGGACACCUAGUUUAACUCCAAUUUCUUUCUAAAAUGAACACUGCUAUGAUGAACACCUUCAUAUAAAUCUACCAUGGUUUAAUGUCUGUAGGGUUUAUGAACAAAAUGGGAUUGCCAGGAGAAAGGGUGAGUGCAUUCAUACUUGAACUGAGCAUUGAUUGCCAAAUGGCUCUUCAGAAUGGCUGUGCAAGUCUCUAUUCCUCCCAGUAGCACUGAAGAAUUCCUAUUUCCUCACAUCCCUCCUUCCAGAAUAUGAUUUUAUCUCAUAUUAUAAUACUUGCCAAUAUAAUGGGUAUAAAGUAGUGUUCUACUGUUUUAAUUAAUGUUUCUCUAAUUACUAAUAAAAUUAAGCAUCUCAUAUGGCAACCAUUCAGCUCUUGCACUCACUCUCAGGAGUUUCUUAUAUGACCUUUCAGAGAUAAGUUAAACAUAUACUAGCAUAUUUGAAAAUCUAAUGAAAAAAUAGUGUACUUGUCACUGUACAUUGCCCUUUAAGUGCUGCUUUAUCUGAGUCCCACAGAUUUGGAUUAUGUAUUGCUUUCAUUAUCAUUCAGUAUUUUAUAUUUUAAGAAUUUUCUUAAUGAAGUAGUAUGUUUUUUCUUUACAGUCAUGUAGGAUUUUUUUAGAGCUAGUAUUUUGUUACUGAUUAUUGACUUAAUGUAAUUUGAAGAACAUGAUUGGAAUAAUAUUCAUUCUUUGAAAUGUAUUGAUACUCCUUGUGGUAUAGUACAGAGUAGAUUUUUGUGAUUGUCCCAUAUAUACUUGGAAAGAAUGUGUAUUCUCUACUUGUUGAGCUAUUCUUUAUAACUUUGACUAUAUUUGUCUGCUUGCACUAUCAGUUACUUUCAGCAUUGUGUCAAAAUUUCCAACCACAAUUACAGUGUCAUGCAUCACUUAAUAAGGAGGGUACAGUCUGAGAAAUGGGUGCCGAUUUUGCUGUUGUGAAAUCUUCAUACAGUGUACCUACAUAAACCUGGAUGGUAUAGCCUGCUACACACCUAGGCUACAUGGUAUAGCCUGUUGCUCGCAGGCUACAGACCUGUACAGCAUGUUAUUGUGCUGAAUACUGUAGGCAGUUGUAACACAAGGGUAAGUAUUGUGUGUCUAAACAUAUCUAGACAUAGAAAAGAUAUAGUAAAAAAAAUAUAAAAAAUGGAAUACCUGUAUAAAGUACUUAUCAUGAAUGAAUUGUACAGGACUGAAAGUUGCUCUGGGUGAAUCAGUGAAUGAUGAGUGAAUGUGAAAUCCUAAGACAUUGCUGUAUACUACCAGAUACUUCAUAAACACUGUACACUUACACUGCUCUAAAUUUAUUAAAAAGUAUUUUUCUUUCUUCAAUAAUAAAUUAGUCUUAGCUUACUGUAACUUUUUACUUUGUAAGAUUUUUAAUUUUGAGCUGCCAUCUUGCGUACCCUGUGUGUGUGCACCUAAUCUCAGCUGGUCCACCUGAGACCCCCUAAGCACCAACCCUAGCCCCCUGCGUGGCCCGUUAUCUGCUGAGAGAAGAUGAAAGAAACAUUUAUGAGCCAGGAAAAACUCGCCAAACUGCAGGCACAAGUGCGCAUUGGUGGAAAAGGAACCACUUGCAGAAAGAAGGUGGUUCGUAGAACAGCCACAGCAGAUGAUAAAAAACUUCAGUUCUCCUUAAAGAAGUUAGGGGUAAACAAUAUCUCUGGUAUUGAAGAGGUGAAUAUGUUUACAAACCAAGGAACAGUGAUCCACUUUAACAACAGAGAUGCCAGCAAACACUUUCACCGUUACAGGCCAUGCUGAGACAAAGCAGCUGAUGGAAAUGCUCCCCAGCAUCUUAAGCCAGCUUGGUGCAGACUGUCUGACUAGUUUAAGGAGACUGGCUGAAGCUCUGCCCAAACAGUCUGUGGAUGGAAAAGCACCACUUGCUACUGUAAAGGAUGAUGAUGAUGAAGUUCCAGAUCUUGUGGAGAAUUUUGAUGAGGCUUCCAAGCAUGAGGCAAACUGAAUUGAGUCAACUUCUGAAGAUAAAACUUGAAGAAGUUACUGGGAGCUGCUAUUUUAUAUUAUGACUGCUUUUUAAGAAAUUUUUGUUUAUGGAUCUGAUAAAAUCUAGAUCUCUAAUAUUUUUAAGCCCAAGCCCCUUGGACACUGCAGCUCUUUUCAGUUUUUGCUUAUGCACAAUUCAUUCUUUGCAGCUAAUUAAGCAGAAGAAGCCUGGGAAUCAAGUUUGAAACGAAGGUUAAUAAAGUUCUUUGCCUAG